AGGACGAACGCUGGCGGCGUGCUUAACACAUGCAAGUCGAGCGGAAAGGCCCUUCGGGGUACUCGAGCGGCGAACGGGUGAGUAACACGUGAGUAACCUGCCCCUAGCUCUGGGAUAGCUCCGGGAAACCGGGAUUAAUACCAGAUACGACCACUUUAGACAUCUGUCGUGGUGGAAAGGAUUCCGGCUAGGGAUGGGCUCGCGGCCUAUCAGCUUGUUGGUGGGGUAACGGCCUACCGAAGGCGAUGACGGGUAG
This 256-nucleotide ribosomal RNA is filed under the name uncultured bacterium. Its description in RNAcentral is "partial small subunit ribosomal RNA". It matches the Rfam family "Bacterial small subunit ribosomal RNA", at positions 26 to 286 of the family's 1533-position model. The record is from RNAcentral.